RNAcentral lists this long non-coding RNA (440 nucleotides) under Coturnix japonica (Japanese quail). Its description in RNAcentral is "lncRNA (ENSCJPG00005008403.1)". Lineage: Eukaryota; Metazoa; Chordata; Aves; Galliformes; Phasianidae. The record is from RNAcentral.
GCUUCGGUUGGAAGAGACCUCAAAAGUCAUCUAGUUCCAGCUCCCUUGUCCUGAGCAUGCUGUGGGGAGCUCUUAUAAACAGUAAGAGUGUUUGAUCUAAGAGCUAAAAGUACUGGGAACAUGAACUGGCUUGUAUGGAUUGUAACCCACUUCAGCUCAGUAGAAUUUUGUGUGGAGUGGUAAUGCCUGUAUUUCAUGAGCUGUACCUGUACUCUAUGCAUAUGUUUGGGCAGAAGGUCCGGGUCAGGGCAGAGGCUGAUUUCGCUCCUGCCCUCAUCAAGCAGCCUCCUGCCAUAAGGGAAUACGCGGCAGAUGGCACUGUUGCUUUAGCAGUCUGCACCAGCUCCUUUUUCCCCGUAGGAUACUGCAGAUUGUGUCAGGCUGUAAACCCUGGAAGAAGAAAGGGAUACAAGUGCUCUCUAUCCACUUCCAUGCUCUGA